UUAACUCAAAUUUGUAUGUAGAUGGAACUGCCUACGUUUGCCGCUAGGGGCGCUGUUCCAACUGCAUACAAAUUUGAGUUA
Non-coding RNA from Bombyx mori (domestic silkworm), 81 nucleotides. NCBI's taxonomy places the organism in Eukaryota, Metazoa, Arthropoda, Insecta, Lepidoptera, Bombycidae. The record is from Rfam.